RNAcentral lists this ribosomal RNA (841 nucleotides) under Bacillus toyonensis. Its description in RNAcentral is "bacterial SSU rRNA". It matches the Rfam family "Bacterial small subunit ribosomal RNA", at positions 11 to 906 of the family's 1533-position model. Lineage: Bacteria; Bacillati; Bacillota; Bacilli; Caryophanales; Bacillaceae. The record is from RNAcentral.
GUUUGAUCCUGGCUCAGGAUGAACGCUGGCGGCGUGCCUAAUACAUGCAAGUCGAGCGAAUGGAUUGAGAGCUUGCUCUCAAGAAGUUAGCGGCGGACGGGUGAGUAACACGUGGGUAACCUGCCCAUAAGACUGGGAUAACUCCGGGAAACCGGGGCUAAUACCGGAUAACAUUUUGAACUGCAUGGUUCGAAAUUGAAAGGCGGCUUCGGCUGUCACUUAUGGAUGGACCCGCGUCGCAUUAGCUAGUUGGUGAGGUGGCUCACCAAGCAACGCGAAGAACCUGACAAGGUCAUGACACACUGACACUGAGACACGGCCCCUCCUACGGGAGCAGAGGGAAGCUGCCGCAUGGACGUCGACAGCACGCCGCGUGAGUGAUGAAGGCAACGAGCGCAAAACUUGAUCUUAGGGAACAACAAUUAGUUGAAUAAGCUGACUGACGGUAACAAACCAGAAAGCCACGGAUAACUAAAUCAGCAGCCCCUAAUACCUAGGCGACAAACGUGAUACAAUGGACGUAAAGAGCGCGCAGGUGGAGCUAAUCUCAUAAAACCGGCUCAACCGUGGAGGCUGAAACUCGCAGACAUGAGUGGAAGAGGAAAGCGGAUCCAUGCCGCGGUGAAAUGCGUACACAUACGGAGGAACACCAGUGGCGAGGCAACUUUCUGGCCAGUAACUGACACUGAGGCGCAAAGGGGGAAAACAGGAUUAGAUACCCUGGUAGUCCACGCCGUAAACGAUGAGUGCUAAGUGUUAGAGGGUUUCCGCCCUUUAGUGCUGAAGUUAACGCAUUAAGCACUCCGCCUGGGGAGUACGGCCGCAAGGCUGAAACUCAAAG